UCGUUUUUGUCAUGGUGCCUCUGUCAGUCUCCUCCCCCUCCCCUCUCCGCUUGGCUGCGGAUCCUUCUCAGCUGCGACCACUCACCUCAUCACCAUGCCGGCCUACUUAAGGAGCUCCAGGACCUUCAUUCCCCGCCAGUCCGUUGCCCCUGAUGGAAUUCCUCACCACGAGUGGUCGUCAGUCUCAGCUUCAUCCUGGAUCCCCAGUUUGGUCUUCGCCUGCGGUCACACCACGAGCCUCUGCCUCGGACCUCAACCCACGCUCUUCCUCCCAUCUCUCCAUUAAAUCUUUUUACCUGC
Oryzias melastigma (Indian medaka) is the source of this 300-nucleotide long non-coding RNA. RefSeq lists it as uncharacterized. The record is from RefSeq and is a predicted model, not a curated record. Lineage: Eukaryota; Metazoa; Chordata; Actinopteri; Beloniformes; Adrianichthyidae. The transcript has 2 exons.